AUGUAUAUGCUUACAACAUAGCGUCAAUGCAUUGGAUCCCAUUAGAACUCUGUAGUUAAGCUCACUCAGGCUACUGUAGUACUAGGAUGGGUGACCACUCAUGAAGUCCUAGUAGUUUACAUU
Picea glauca (white spruce) is the source of this 123-nucleotide non-coding RNA. The record is from Rfam. NCBI's taxonomy places the organism in Eukaryota, Viridiplantae, Streptophyta, Pinopsida, Pinales, Pinaceae.